ACAAGUCUUUUUUAAUUGCAAACCUGUUUAUUCUUUUUAAAAGAUGUAUAUUUUUCACCAAAUAUUUUCAGUGGUCGUUGAAUCAAUAAACAAUCAAAGAAUCAACACUAUUUUGUAUUUUAUUUUAAGAAAAAAUGGAAUCCGGAGAUGAGAUGGGAGGAAUAGAAAACGAUGAUAAAUUUAUUCAAGAAAAUAUUGAUGACCAAAAUAAACCUUUCGAGGAUUUUGAUUUGACCCAAGAAGAAAUUAGUGGAGUGAAAAUAAGGGAAGAUGUAGAUCCUUUGUACAGCACGCCGGUACAAGUGGAAGUCGCGCCCGUACAGUUGGAGGAUGUCGUGUCCUCACACGUGAUGGAUGCCCUGCCCGUAGAGAAAGUCGCGCCUGUACAAGGAAAUGGCUUAAAUUUGCCCAAACAAGCUGAUGUUUCUAUUCACAAUAUUGAGAAGGAAGAGAAGAGCAGAAGGGAUUUUCAACGGGAUCAGUUUCUCUGGAUAGAUUCUAAACAAGGCCCUGAUAUAAAGGUUUAUGGGAAGGAUGGAGUGUAUAGGGAAGCUCAUAGGAUCAUGCUAUCCCGACUGUCCCAUCUACUCUGCUCUAUUCUGAAACAGAAUCAAGAUGAGGAAGAUGUUGCGGUUAUCCUACCAGAUGUGCCUGGAGCAGUUCUAGACCUAGUACUAGACCUUGUAUACCGGGGUUGGGUGGGAGGACUAGGUCUAUCAAACAUCAGCCAGGUCCGAGAUGUUUGUAAAAUACUUGACAUGAGACAAGAAGACUUUGUAGUUCGAUCCGAGGAUAAAUACAGGUUGGGGAAGGAUAUUCUCCACCCCGUGGUAUCCCGGGACUCGGAUGAACCUGACUCCAUCAAUCUUAGCUCCGAUACCAGAGAGAACAGAAGCAAAACUCAGGGCAGUUUCCAGUGUCCGUUCUGCAACAAAACAUUUAUUUACGCAAAAUCUUUCGAGAGACAUGAAGAAAUAUGUACUUCCAAUACAAACAACCUGCAGAGAACAGAGACUAACCUUGAAGGAGGAGAAGGAGAAGAAGGAGGAGAUGAAGGUGGGAUUGAGGAAAGAGAUGAUGAAGAGGAGGUUAGAGAACCUCCGGAUCCCUCGGAGAGGUUGAAGAGAAAGCGGAGAAAACAGGAUCGGAUCCAGGAUCCGGAGGAGGAUCAAGAUUUUGAAAAGAAACCUUCUGUAGUAUUCAAGUUUGAGCAUUAUGAGGAGCAGGACGGAGAGUAUUUCUGCAGGUUUCCGGGUUGUACUUACUCCGACCCGUUCAAGACCUUGGAGAACUGCAAAAACCACCAACUCCUACUCCAUGCAUCAGUACAGGAGAAAAUAUUCUUAUGUGAUUUCUGUGAUGAAAGAUUUUCUACGAUUCGUCUUCGGAAUAAGCAUAUUAACGCGGUGCACAAUAAAAGAUUUGAAUGUGAUCAGUGUGAAAGAAAGUUUAGUGAAAAGACUAGGUUAACAAUACACAUGAGAACCCACACUGGGGAGAAACCCUUUGUUUGUGAUCUUUGCGGAUAUUCGUGUAAUCAGAGGAAUAACUUAAGGAAACACAAAGAACUGAGACAUAGCUCUGCGGGGGAAGCGAGAAUGUUUCCCUGUGAUAUCUGCAGUGCUGUGUUUAAUACUAAAGGGAACUUGAAUAGACACAGAGCAAGGCACGACGCCAACACAGUAUUACCGUUUGUCUGUGAAACCUGUGGGAAGAAUUUUAAGGAUCAUGGUACUCUGAAGCAGCAUUCCUUUAGUCACGGAGCAGCAAAAUAUAACUGCCAGGUGUGUGGAGCAGCAUUUACAUCUCCUCUUUACUUAUACAGAAUUGGAUUCCAAGGUAUAUUAAAUCCUUGACGGCACUCUCAAUUGUAGGGUUAAUUAGAAUUGCGUUCACAAAAGUUCAAAACACACGCUGCGAAAGCAUCCCACUGACGGAGUCCAGCCCUAUACCUGUGAUUUAUGUGAUAAAGGAUUUCCUUUAAAGCAUCAACUGC
Molecule: unclassified non-coding RNA, 1996 nt
Filed under: Eurytemora carolleeae
Lineage: Eukaryota; Metazoa; Arthropoda; Copepoda; Calanoida; Temoridae
Description: zinc finger and BTB domain-containing protein 24
Source: RNAcentral